Molecule: ribosomal RNA, 558 nt
Filed under: bacterium 4873K4-B20
Lineage: Bacteria
Description: bacterial SSU rRNA
Rfam family: Bacterial small subunit ribosomal RNA
Source: RNAcentral
GCAAGUCGAGCGGUAACAGAAAAGAAGCUUGCUUCUUUUGCUGACGAGCGGCGGACGGGUGAGUAAUGCCUGGGAAUAUACCCUGAUGUGGGGGAUAACUAUUGGAAACGAUAGCUAAUACCGCAUAAUCUCUUCGGAGCAAAGAGGGGGACCUUCGGGCCUCUCGCGUCAGGAUUAGCCCAGGUGGGAUUAGCUAGUUGGUGGGGUAAUGGCUCACCAAGGCGACGAUCCCUAGCUGGUCUGAGAGGAUGAUCAGCCACACUGGAACUGAGACACGGUCCAGACUCCUACGGGAGGCAGCAGUGGGGAAUAUUGCACAAUGGGGGAAACCCUGAUGCAGCCAUGCCGCGUGUAUGAAGAAGGCCUUCGGGUUGUAAAGUACUUUCAGUUGUGAGGAAGGCAGUUAAGUUAAUAGCUUGGCUGUUUGACGUUAGCAACAGAAGAAGCACCGGCUAACUCCGUGCCAGCAGCCGCGGUAAUACGGAGGGUGCGAGCGUUAAUCGGAAUUACUGGGCGUAAAGCGCAUGCAGGCGGUCUGUUAAGCAAGAUGUGAAAGCC